AGAUGACGCUGGCGGCGUGCCUAAUACAUGCAAGUCGAGCGAAUGGAUUAAGAGCUUGCUCUUAUGAAGUUAGCGGCGGACGGGUGAGUAACACGUGGGUAACCUGCCCAUAAGACUGGGAUAACUCCGGGAAACCGGGGCUAAUACCGGAUAACAUUUUGAACCGCAUGGUUCGAAAUUGAAAGGCGGCUUCGGCUGUCACUUAUGGAUGGACCCGCGUCGCAUUAGCUAGUUGGUGAGGUAACGGCUCACCAAGGCAACGAUGCGUAGCCGACCUGAGAGGGUGAUCGGCCACACUGGGACUGAGACACGGCCCAGACUCCUACGGGAGGCAGCAGUAGGGAAUCUUCCGCAAUGGACGAAAGUCUGACGGAGCAACGCCGCGUGAGUGAUGAAGGCUUUCGGGUCGUAAAACUCUGUUGUUAGGGAAGAACAAGUGCUAGUUGAAUAAGCUGGCACCUUGACGGUACCUAACCAGAAAGCCCGGCUAAAUACGUGCCACAACCCGCGGUAGUACGUAAGUGGGCAAGCGUUAUCCGGAAUUAUUGGGCGUAAAUCCACAAAGGAGGUUUUCUUAACCCGGAUGGGAAGCCCC
This 595-nucleotide ribosomal RNA is filed under the name Bacillus sp. C21. RNAcentral's name for it is "bacterial SSU rRNA". It matches the Rfam family "Bacterial small subunit ribosomal RNA", at positions 26 to 604 of the family's 1533-position model. The record is from RNAcentral. Lineage: Bacteria; Bacillati; Bacillota; Bacilli; Caryophanales; Bacillaceae.